This 900-nucleotide long non-coding RNA is filed under the name Homo sapiens (human). Its description in RNAcentral is "long intergenic non-protein coding RNA 1723". Lineage: Eukaryota; Metazoa; Chordata; Mammalia; Primates; Hominidae. The record is from RNAcentral.
GACACACCCAGCGGCAGCCGUUGACUCCCUCCACCCUUGCUUCCCUCUCAACCAUCUCACCUCCAUCUGUCCAGUGGAGCCAGAUGUCCCACCUUCUUGGGAGAAAUUAAUUGAGGCUCAUUUCCAGGACAGAGGGGCAAGCUGGGUCUGAGGAGCCAAGCAGAAAAACUUCCCAAAAUCACUGGGUGGGGAGGGGUCAGAGACUUACUGCUGCCCCAGCUGUUCUGACUCUGCCCCCAGCUUUUGGCCCCACCCUUUUAAAGCACCUUCAGAGGUUCCCAAUGGUGACAGUAAACAAGUCUCCACUGUCCUGGCCAUCUCUGCUGUGUUCACCCUACUCCUGAUCUUUCUGGCUGCUCAGGGACUGACAGCCAAGAUGUGAGGCUGUGAUGAGCAGGAACAGGGAGGCCUGGAGCCCCCAGCAGGGCACAAAAGCUCUAGAAAUACAAAGCUGCAGAGGAUGGACGUGUUCUGCCUUUCAUUUCUCAAGACAGAUUUGCAAUGAUCAAGAGGCGUCCUGUGAAUGCAGUUUGCAAAGGACUUAGGCACACAGCAUCUCCUUUGUUCUCACCACAAGGCUGCCGGGUGUGCAGAUGUGAGGAUUAUUUCAAUGGUGAAGAAGCAUCCUGAGAGGUUACGUAGUUCAACUAAUGUCACACCAAGAGCAGGAGAGCAUCUGGGCAUUUGGACAUGGAAGGUGUGGGGCACAAGCAUCUCAUGGCCAGGGAACGGGGGAGGAGCAUCUCAGAGCUGCAUCAGAGUUCAUGCUGGUCCUAGGACAAGAGUCAAGCACACCCUGCUUUCACCAGCUGCUGGUAGCUUUCACUCAGGUAAUGCACAGCUGAACAGAACCCAGUUCUUUCUCUUGACUGGGCCCCCAUCAAUACAUUAGCUCCGAAU